Molecule: non-coding RNA, 58 nt
Organism: Dipodomys ordii (Ord's kangaroo rat)
Lineage: Eukaryota; Metazoa; Chordata; Mammalia; Rodentia; Heteromyidae
Source: Rfam
UGGCUCAGUGGUAGAGUGCUUGCCUUGCAUGCAUGAGGCUCUGGGUUCGAUUCCUCAG